CCACAGCCCAGAGCUCACGUACAUCUGUCAGUUACUCCUUGAGCAACUCCACAAUGCACAGAGGCUCUCACUGCUCUGUGAAGAUGAUGCAUUCAGAAAGAUUCAGCCACCUACAUGCCGUCCAUCACACAGCAAGAGGACCAGCUAGCCAUUGGCUCGUGGGUGAGGGUUUGGUUUCCUUGAAAGAUGAGUAUUGUUUCAUUGUCUUCGUGACUCUGAGGGCCACCCCAGAGACACUUGCACUGUUUCUCCUGUCUAGACACACUGGCAGAUUUUCUGUUUAGACUAGUGGAUCUCAAUCUUUCUACGCUGCAGCCCUUUAGUACAGGUCUUUAUGUUGUGGUGACCCCUCAAUCAUAAAUUACUUUUGUUACUACUUCAUAACUAUGAUUUUGCCACUGUUAUGAACUGUAAGGUAAACCUUUGUGUUUUCUGAUGGUCUUAGACAACCCCUGUGAAAAGGCCACUCGAUACCCUUCCAAGAGGUGGUGGCCCAAAGGUUGAGAACCUCUGUGUUGCCUGGCUGCAAGAUAACACUUGGACUUACCUCUCUCUGUCUGUCUGUCUGUCUCUCUGUGUAUGUGUCUCUCCCUCUCUCUGUCUCUAUCUGUUUUUCUGUGUCUGUUUCUCUCCUGUCUAGACACACUGCCAAGUUUUCUCUUAAAGCAGUGGUUCUCAACCUUCUUUCUCUCUGUCUUUCUGUCUCUGUCUGUGUCUCUGUGUCUCUGUCUCUGUCUCUCUCUCACUCUCACAUCUGUGACAGUGCCGGGGAUGGAUCCCAGAGUCUAACACGUUAGACAGAGCUCUUAGCUGAACCCUGCCCUCAGUGUAUUUCUAACUUUGUAUUUUUACUUUUUUCUGACUGGCGAGCAAAAUAUUUUAAAAGGAGCCGGGUGUGGUGGUGCACACCUGUAAUUCCAGCACUCUGGGAGGCAGAGGCAGGCGGAUCUCUGUGUGUUCGAGGACAGCCUGUUCCAUAAAGCAAGCCCAGGACAGCCACGGCUACACAGAGAAACCUUGUCUCAAAAAAAAAAAAAAAAAAAAAAUGUUUCCACCGUGGCGUGGCUUUGGCACUUAGGAAGACGCAUCCCGUAUUUACACAAACCUGUCAUUGGACGCUGCCUCCCCUGAUAGGCACCUGGAAGAUGAAGGCUUCUGAGGGUCACAGAAAAAUAUGAGGUGUAAAGUUUAUACAGCUUCAGAGAAUUAUUUAAAAUGAAAUAAGACCUGUGUCCUGCCGUGCCUGUGGCGUCACCCUCAGCUCUGCCCAGCUAUGAAAACGAAAAGCUGUGCCCACCUCCUCGAUGUCCCCACCCCCACCAGCACCACCACCCACCUUCACAUCUCCCCGAAACCCUGAAUAAAGGGAAAAACCCUGCAAAAAGA
Psammomys obesus (fat sand rat) is the source of this 1386-nucleotide long non-coding RNA. RefSeq lists it as uncharacterized. NCBI's taxonomy places the organism in Eukaryota, Metazoa, Chordata, Mammalia, Rodentia, Muridae. The transcript is spliced from 3 exons. The record is from RefSeq and is a predicted model, not a curated record.